RNAcentral lists this ribosomal RNA (328 nucleotides) under uncultured bacterium. RNAcentral's name for it is "bacterial SSU rRNA". It matches the Rfam family "Bacterial small subunit ribosomal RNA", at positions 9 to 330 of the family's 1533-position model. The record is from RNAcentral.
GAGUUUGAUCGUGGCUCAGGAUGAACGCUAGCGACAGGCUUAACACAUGCAAGUCGAGGGGCAGCACGGUGUGGCAACACAUGGGUGGCGACCGGCGCACGGGUGAGUAACGCGUAUGCAACUUGCCUAUCAGAGGGGGAUAACCCGUCGAAAGACGGACUAAUACCGCAUGAAACAGGGGUCCCGCAUGGGAAUAUUUGUUAAAGAUUUCAUCGCUGAUAGAUAGGCAUGCGUUCCAUUAGGUAGUUGGCGGGGCAACGGCCCACCAAGCCGACGAUGGGUAGGGGUUCUGAGAGGAAGGUCCCCCCAAUUGGAACUGAGACACGGU